Apis florea (little honeybee) is the source of this 773-nucleotide long non-coding RNA. The record is from RefSeq and is a predicted model, not a curated record. NCBI's taxonomy places the organism in Eukaryota, Metazoa, Arthropoda, Insecta, Hymenoptera, Apidae.
CAUAUAUCACGAAUAUCUUAAUCAAAUACGAUUUCUGAUGUAUUGUUCUCGAUAUAUUCAUUCAUCAUUAUCGAAUAACUGAUAUAUACAUACACUCUAAUUUCCUUAACCUCAUUUUUUUAUGCAUUUAACAUAAUAAAAUAUAUAUAACAUAAUACAAUAUCAAUUCAAUUGAGCAAAGAACAAAUAUUGAAUGAAAAAAUCGUCAUUGGCUUUUAUUUUCUUUGGCACUUUAUUGACAUAAAUGUAACAAUCUUACGUUGCAUAAUAUGUACAAUUAUUUAUAAUAAUAUGGCGCAUUGAAAAACACACAGAAAGAAGCAUAUCAACUUUUGAUAAAAGUUUGCGGUGAUUCUUUAUAUGCUUUUUUUCUUCGUUUUGUUUGAUUUGGAACAAAAUUAAACGAGCUACAUAUAUUAUCAAUUACGAUAUACAUUUAUAGAUAAAAAAGUAAUACAAAUGUAUAGCUAUAUGCUACAAAUCGCAAAGGCUUCACACACAUUCGUGCGCAGGCGCUUAAUCGUUAGUAAUAAAUUAGAAUAUUCACAAUAGAUAUUUGAAAAUAAGUUGUGCUACUGCAUGAUAAUCUGCGAAUUUUUUAAAUUAUCUAUGUUUUCAUACUAAUUCAUAUUUGCAUCUAGCACCAGUGUUCGAUGGUAUCGAAUUAUUAUUAUAAUUGUGAAAAGUUAUAUUAUGCGCGCACGUUCAAAUUCAAUGUGGAAAACGAUUGGUUAAUUGAAAACGAUGUUUUAUUUUACCGAUCAAUAAUUAAU